UGGGGAAUAUUGGACAAUGGGCGCAAGCCUGAUCCAGCCAUGCCGCGUGGAUGAUGAAGGCCUUAGGGUUGUAAAGUCCUUUCGGCGGGGAAGAUAAUGACGGUACCCGCAGAAGAAGCCCCGGCUAACUUCGUGCCAGCAGCCGCGGUAAUACGAAGGGGGCUAGCGUUGCUCGGAAUCACUGGGCGUAAAGCGCACGUAGGCGGCUUUUUAAGUCAGGGGUGAAAUCCUGGAGCUCAACUCCAGAACUGCCUUUGAUACUGAGAAGCUUGAGUCUGGGAGAGGUGAGUGGAACUGCGAGUGUAGAGGUGAAAUUCGUAGAUAUUCGCAAGAACACCAGUGGCGAAGGCGGCUCACUGGCCCGGUACUGACGCUGAGGUGCGAAAGCGUGGGGAGCAAACAGGAUUAGAUACCCGCGUAGUCCCUGAGCGGGCUGGCAAGGCGCAU
Molecule: ribosomal RNA, 447 nt
Filed under: uncultured bacterium
Lineage: Bacteria
Description: bacterial SSU rRNA
Rfam family: Bacterial small subunit ribosomal RNA
Source: RNAcentral